UACGGGGGGGGCAAGCGUUGUUCGGAAUUACUGGGCGUAAAGGGCUCGUAGGUGGCCAACUAAGUCAGACGUGAAAUCCCCAGGCUUAACCUGGGAACUGCGUCUGAUACUGGAUGGCUUGAAUUCGGGAGAGGGAUGCAGAAUUCCAGGUGUAGCGGUGAAAUGCUUAGAUAUCGUCAAGAACACCGAUAGCGAAGGCAGCUUACUGGGCUGUAACUGACGCUGAGGCACGAAAGUGUGGGGAUCAAACAGG
RNAcentral lists this ribosomal RNA (253 nucleotides) under uncultured bacterium. RNAcentral's name for it is "partial 16S ribosomal RNA". It matches the Rfam family "Bacterial small subunit ribosomal RNA", at positions 524 to 776 of the family's 1533-position model. The record is from RNAcentral.